This 66-nucleotide transfer RNA is filed under the name Clanoptilus assimilis. RNAcentral describes it as "tRNA-Gly". Lineage: Eukaryota; Metazoa; Arthropoda; Insecta; Coleoptera; Melyridae. The record is from RNAcentral.
AUUUAUAUAAUAUAAAAAUUAUAUUUAAUUUCCAAUUAAAAAAUCUAUAUAAAAAUAGUAUAAAUA